Mus musculus (house mouse) is the source of this 2113-nucleotide long non-coding RNA. RefSeq annotates it as predicted gene, 34903. Lineage: Eukaryota; Metazoa; Chordata; Mammalia; Rodentia; Muridae. The record is from RefSeq and is a predicted model, not a curated record. The transcript is spliced from 2 exons.
GGAUAAAGAUGGGGAUGAGGGAAAGGGGAGGAUGAGGAUGGAGAUGAGAAAGAAGGAAGGAGGAGGGAGAAGUGUCCAAGAUAGGCUGCAAGUAGGGAGGGGAGCUGAAUAUGACGUCAAAUGCAUCCUAGUCAUAUACAUAAUUAUCAGUGCGUAUAUAAUAAAAUUCAUGUCCUUUUCAAAUAAAGAUAUAAAUAACCCUCAUUAUAAUUUUUAUAUGUUUUUAAAAGAGGCACAGUGGGUUGUCAAAUCACUGCACCAAGAGCUUUCCAGUACUCACAUUGGGCAAAACAUGAGAAAUGAAUCAAUGUCUGUCAUAUGACACUUAUUGUCUUCAUUCCAAUGUUGCCCUUUUAUGAAACUAACUGCUCACUGCAGAAAAAAAAAACAGGCAUACAUAGACAUACAUGCAAACAGAACAUAAACAAAUAAAAAAUAUAAAAAUAAAUUUUAAAUUAAAAAAAUAUUCUCAGUGCUGCCAGAUGAGGGCAGCCAACCAAGCAUAGAGUUCAGACGUGAUGCUAAAAAUGAGUCUUGUGGAUUAGUAAGAACAAACUCUGCCAUGAUACUGGUUAAGCUUCUGGGUUGCUCAGGCAUGGCCUAGCUCAUCCUGACUACAGUGGAAAUUACUUGUCAGUGGCUGCUACUCCUCUCUUCAAAGCUACUUGCCCACAAGCAUAUGACCUACUUUCAAAACUGUAAAUCUCCAAGGUCAUUGAUUCUGUUAGGGCCUUGUUUGAGUUCUGGUAAGCCCAGAGCCUAUCCUUGGGAGUCAGGCCAGUAGGCUAAGCUAAGAAAAUGUUAACAGGAGUCACAACUCUGUAGUCUAGAAGGCUGCAGCUUGUCAAGAGUGGGUAUCAGAACCUUUGAAGGUCUGUGCUUAACUGUUCUCCACGGCUUGCCUGCGGAUAAGAUCCUGUUCCUUCUCCUGGCGCAUUGGAAUCAUAAGCUUUGACGAUUUUUACAACUUCUCACAUAAGAAUAUUUUACUCUUGAGCUGAAAUUGGCAGAAUUCCUUUCAACUGACUCACUUUUGUCUCGCUCUGGAAGAGUAGGUGGACUCCAUGCAUCCUGCCUUAGUUCUCAGACCCAUCACUGAGGCCAGAGAUUCAGCCUUUGUUGUCUGUGUCAUUCACUUUUAUCAAUUCACUUCUGCCAGAGCUGGAACGUGAUCCCUAAGAGCUCAUGUGUUGGAGCUUGGUCUCAAAAAAAAAAAAAAAAAUCCAGGCAUAGUGGCUCACAGUUACCAUCCCAGAGUUGAAAGGUAGAGUCAGGCAGACCCUUGGAGGUCACUGACCACCCACUCUUGCUUCCUUGGCAAUCUCCACAACAGUGAGAGACCCUGUCAAUGCUCAAAGGCUCAAGGUUGUCCUCUGGUCUCCAUAGAUAUGGACAUACAGAGACAUGUACACCCUGCAUACACACCAAUGAGAAAACUGCAAAACAUACAAAUGUUUGUGUGAUCCUCUGUGUGUGAACACAAAAUCAGAGCCAUAGCACUGCAUGUAGAGGCACGUGGCCAAAGGACAUGCCACGCCUGUUUGUGGGCAGUGUUGCUGGUAAGAAUGUCCUCCGUGCAGAAAGACACAGUGGUCUCCUCUCUUCCUCUUCUCCCCUGUGGCUGAGCUCCCAAGAGAAGCUGGGCUCCCUCCAUUGACAAGAUUCCACCUGACUCGGAGGAAGGCUCAAUCUUGCUCUGGUACACACUCUAGGACAUGCUACUCCUGGGGACAGGUCACUGGACAACAGGCUUGCUGCUAGCACAAGGAAUCUCUGCUUUGCAGCUCUAGACAGACUGCAUGAGCCUUCAUACGCUGGAAGUUCUUACUGCCCUGGAUGAAGGACAUUCUGCAGGCAGGGAGGGAGAGCUUGUGACACAUAAGGACACCAUCAGCCCUCGCCUCCACGUCUGCAAUUCCACACAUGCAGAAUGGAUUCUGGAUAAUCCCAGCAAAGCCAGAGUGGGGCCUGUGGAACACAGUUUUCCUCCAAACAGCUUUCUACAAUCCACCCUAGCACGCCGGAAAACACAUUCUAAAGCCACUUAGGCGAUUUCUUUUUAAUGUCACUGUUAUACUUUGAGGGAUUUAAUAAAAACCUUCAUAAAAGGGCA